Long non-coding RNA from Phyllostomus hastatus (greater spear-nosed bat), 1461 nucleotides. RefSeq lists it as uncharacterized. Lineage: Eukaryota; Metazoa; Chordata; Mammalia; Chiroptera; Phyllostomidae. The transcript is spliced from 3 exons. The record is from RefSeq and is a predicted model, not a curated record.
GCAAGGCAAGCCAGUUGGAGUCACAGCUCCCCCCGCCCCAGCAGUAAGCCAUUAUGCUAAUUGAGAAGUAGCUGUUGGGAGGCCUAGUCAAAGGCACGUCUUCCCCGGGGUGGGGGUGCUGGGUGCCCCAUGCAUUCAUAGGCAGUGGAACACUAGGACUUUUUUUUUUUUAAGUAGUUUCACUCCUCCGGGGACUAGUGGCUGGGUCUCCUAUGCUCUGACUCCCUCCAUCGGAGUCUCCCAAUCUGUUUCUUCUCCCCCCACACCCACUCAGUUCUUCCCCUCUCCCCACAAAUUUCCAGGCCCAGUUUCCAACUGGUAGGGGGGGAAGGCCAGAUUUUUUUUUUAAACAGCCCCUCCUUUUUGAGAACAGACAACAAGCGAUAGAACCAGCCACUACUCUGUGGCCUCCUGGUUAGAAUAUUUGGCUUUUGCCUUCUCCUAUCUGGAUGCACCAGGAGAGACUGGACUGGGUGAACAAAGCCAAGAAGUUACCUCAGACCCUCCAGCUCUGCUCGCUGCUGCUAGAGAAGGUCGUCAGGAAGCGGACAGAAGAGAAGAACCUGGUUGCAUCAAGGAAUAGAAAGACAGCCUGGAGGACGCACGGCCAGCUGCAGGCCUGCAAGCCCGCAAGCCCGGGCUGCGGGCGGACCUGGCCUGGAGCUGAGCUGAGGGUGGAGGGGCUUUCCUGGGGCAGCAUUGGGCCCCUCCCCUCCUGGAGCCUCCUCAACUCACUGUGGUCCCUUUUGGCUGUACCAGGAAGUGGGGCACAGUGGGGUAGAAGCAAAAAGAAGUAAGGAGCAAGAAAACUAACCUGGAGACACAUUUCAGAGGAUAUGCACCCCCAAAUGUGGUAGGAGAUGGAGUGGGACCUCUUAAUCAACUCUGGAGCGCAGAGCACAUUUGAAAUGUUUGGGAGGCGAUUAGAACCCAUUUUGGUUUAUUUCUUAUUUUUUUUCUUCCCUUCUCAGAGAUUUCGGGCUGGCCGGUUGCCCCUAAUUGGGGCUAGGAGGGUGGGGGUUGUGGAUGGUAGAAGUGGCAGCCCUGGGGGCUCCCAUUUCGUUGGAAGUGUGGAUGCGGGGUAGGGACCUGUCCAACUUCAGGGACGAAGGCAGGGCAGCGAGGAGCUUGGGCAGAGAGCUUGGGGUGGGAGACACCAGAAGUGUCUGCGGGAAGAUUUUGGAGUGUGCAGAAACGGGAGGAGAGGGUGUCACCACUGCCAAUGAAGUUGUGGUUCAGGGGCAGGCGAGAGAGAGAGGAGAAGGAAAAAUUUCUUCCUGGAUUUAAGGUGGGAAACUUAGCAACUUUGUGUGUGUGUGUGUGUGUGUGUGUGUGAGAGAGAGAGAGAGAGAGAGAGAGAGAUAUUGAAAAAAAUGGGGAGAAAGAUGAAAACACAGAGACCUUAGUGUAAUCUAAUAAUUAAAGGCAAAAGUUAAUAAUAAAGGUAAAAAUUAGAGAAAA